Molecule: ribosomal RNA, 253 nt
Filed under: uncultured bacterium
Lineage: Bacteria
Description: partial 16S ribosomal RNA
Rfam family: Bacterial small subunit ribosomal RNA
Source: RNAcentral
UACGUAGGUGGCGAGCGUUAUCCGGAUUCACUGGGUGUAAAGGGAGCGUAGACGGCCAUGCAAGCCAGGGGUGAAAGCCCGGGGCCCAACCCCGGGACUGCCCUUGGAACUGCAUGGCUGGAGUGCGGGAGGGGCAGGCGGAAUUCCUGGUGUAGCGGUGAAAUGCGUAGAUAUCAGGAGGAACACCGGCGGCGAAGGCGGCCUGCUGGACCGCGACUGACGUUGAGGCUCGAAAGCGUGGGGAGCGAACAGG